GACGAACGCUGGCGGCGUGCUUAACACAUGCAAGUCGAACGGUGAAGCGCCUUCCUUUUUGGUGGGUGUGGAUGAGUGGCGAACGGGUGAGUAACACGUGAGUAACCUGCCCCCUUCUUCUGGAUAACCGCAUGAAAGUGUGGCUAAUACGGGAUAUUCUGGGUCUGUCGCAUGAUGGGUCUGGGAAAGAUAUUGUUUCGGUGGGGGAUGGGCUCGCGGCCUAUCAGCUUGUUGGUGGGGUGAUGGCCUACCAAGGCGGUGACGGGUAGCCGGCCUGAGAGGGUGGACGGGCACACGGGGACUGAGACACGGCCCAGACUCCGACGGGAGGCAGCAGGGGGGAAUAUGGCACAAUGGGCGCAAGCCUGAUGCAGCGACGCCGCGUGAGGGAUGGAGGCCGUCGGGUUGUGAACCUCUUUCGCCAGUGAAGCAGGCCUGCCUCGUUUGUGGGUGGGUUGACGGUAGCUGGAGAAGAAGCGCCGGCUAACUACGUG
RNAcentral lists this ribosomal RNA (494 nucleotides) under uncultured bacterium. Its description in RNAcentral is "partial 16S ribosomal RNA". It matches the Rfam family "Bacterial small subunit ribosomal RNA", at positions 28 to 507 of the family's 1533-position model. The record is from RNAcentral.